RNAcentral lists this ribosomal RNA (2789 nucleotides) under Escherichia coli. Its description in RNAcentral is "bacterial LSU rRNA". It matches the Rfam family "Bacterial large subunit ribosomal RNA". The record is from RNAcentral. Lineage: Bacteria; Pseudomonadati; Pseudomonadota; Gammaproteobacteria; Enterobacterales; Enterobacteriaceae.
AGCGUACACGGUGGAUGCCCUGGCAGUCAGAGGCGAUGAAGGACGUGCUAAUCUGCGAUAAGCGUCGGUAAGGUGAUAUGAACCGUUAUAACCGGCGAUUUCCGAAUGGGGAAACCCAGUGUGAUUCGUCACACUAUCAUUAACUGAAUCCAUAGGUUAAUGAGGCGAACCGGGGGAACUGAAACAUCUAAGUACCCCGAGGAAAAGAAAUCAACCGAGAUUCCCCCAGUAGCGGCGAGCGAACGGGGAGCAGCCCAGAGCCUGAAUCAGUGUGUGUGUUAGUGGAAGCGUCUGGAAAGGCGCGCGAUACAGGGUGACAGCCCCGUACACAAAAAUGCACAUGCUGUGAGCUCGAUGAGUAGGGCGGGACACGUGGUAUCCUGUCUGAAUAUGGGGGGACCAUCCUCCAAGGCUAAAUACUCCUGACUGACCGAUAGUGAACCAGUACCGUGAGGGAAAGGCGAAAAGAACCCCGGCGAGGGGAGUGAAAAAGAACCUGAAACCGUGUACGUACAAGCAGUGGGAGCACAGAGCAAUCUGUGUGACUGCGUACCUUUUGUAUAAUGGGUCAGCGACUUAUAUUCUGUAGCAAGGUUAACCGAAUAGGGGAGCCGAAGGGAAACCGAGUCUUAACUGGGCGUUAAGUUGCAGGGUAUAGACCCGAAACCCGGUGAUCUAGCCAUGGGCAGGUUGAAGGUUGGGUAACACUAACUGGAGGACCGAACCGACUAAUGUUGAAAAAUUAGCGGAUGACUUGUGGCUGGGGGUGAAAGGCCAAUCAAACCGGGAGAUAGCUGGUUCUCCCCGAAAGCUAUUUAGGUAGCGCCUCGUGAAUUCAUCUCCGGGGGUAGAGCACUGUUUCGGCAAGGGGGUCAUCCCGACUUACCAACCCGAUGCAAACUGCGAAUACCGGAGAAUGUUAUCACGGGAGACACACGGCGGGUGCUAACGUCCGUCGUGAAGAGGGAAACAACCCAGACCGCCAGCUAAGGUCCCAAAGUCAUGGUUAAGUGGGAAACGAUGUGGGAAGGCCCAGACAGCCAGGAUGUUGGCUUAGAAGCAGCCAUCAUUUAAAGAAAGCGUAAUAGCUCACUGGUCGAGUCGGCCUGCGCGGAAGAUGUAACGGGGCUAAACCAUGCACCGAAGCUGCGGCAGCGACGCUUAUGCGUUGUUGGGUAGGGGAGCGUUCUGUAAGCCUGUGAAGGUGUGCUGUGAGGCAUGCUGGAGGUAUCAGAAGUGCGAAUGCUGACAUAAGUAACGAUAAAGCGGGUGAAAAGCCCGCUCGCCGGAAGACCAAGGGUUCCUGUCCAACGUUAAUCGGGGCAGGGUGAGUCGACCCCUAAGGCGAGGCCGAAAGGCGUAGUCGAUGGGAAACAGGUUAAUAUUCCUGUACUUGGUGUUACUGCGAAGGGGGGACGGAGAAGGCUAUGUUGGCCGGGCGACGGUUGUCCCGGUUUAAGCGUGUAGGCUGGUUUUCCAGGCAAAUCCGGAAAAUCAAGGCUGAGGCGUGAUGACGAGGCACUACGGUGCUGAAGCAACAAAUGCCCUGCUUCCAGGAAAAGCCUCUAAGCAUCAGGUAACAUCAAAUCGUACCCCAAACCGACACAGGUGGUCAGGUAGAGAAUACCAAGGCGCUUGAGAGAACUCGGGUGAAGGAACUAGGCAAAAUGGUGCCGUAACUUCGGGAGAAGGCACGCUGAUAUGUAGGUGAAGUCCCUCGCGGAUGGAGCUGAAAUCAGUCGAAGAUACCAGCUGGCUGCAACUGUUUAUUAAAAACACAGCACUGUGCAAACACGAAAGUGGACGUAUACGGUGUGACGCCUGCCCGGUGCCGGAAGGUUAAUUGAUGGGGUUAGCGCAAGCGAAGCUCUUGAUCGAAGCCCCGGUAAACGGCGGCCGUAACUAUAACGGUCCUAAGGUAGCGAAAUUCCUUGUCGGGUAAGUUCCGACCUGCACGAAUGGCGUAAUGAUGGCCAGGCUGUCUCCACCCGAGACUCAGUGAAAUUGAACUCGCUGUGAAGAUGCAGUGUACCCGCGGCAAGACGGAAAGACCCCGUGAACCUUUACUAUAGCUUGACACUGAACAUUGAGCCUUGAUGUGUAGGAUAGGUGGGAGGCUUUGAAGUGUGGACGCCAGUCUGCAUGGAGCCGACCUUGAAAUACCACCCUUUAAUGUUUGAUGUUCUAACGUUGACCCGUAAUCCGGGUUGCGGACAGUGUCUGGUGGGUAGUUUGACUGGGGCGGUCUCCUCCUAAAGAGUAACGGAGGAGCACGAAGGUUGGCUAAUCCUGGUCGGACAUCAGGAGGUUAGUGCAAUGGCAUAAGCCAGCUUGACUGCGAGCGUGACGGCGCGAGCAGGUGCGAAAGCAGGUCAUAGUGAUCCGGUGGUUCUGAAUGGAAGGGCCAUCGCUCAACGGAUAAAAGGUACUCCGGGGAUAACAGGCUGAUACCGCCCAAGAGUUCAUAUCGACGGCGGUGUUUGGCACCUCGAUGUCGGCUCAUCACAUCCUGGGGCUGAAGUAGGUCCCAAGGGUAUGGCUGUUCGCCAUUUAAAGUGGUACGCGAGCUGGGUUUAGAACGUCGUGAGACAGUUCGGUCCCUAUCUGCCGUGGGCGCUGGAGAACUGAGGGGGGCUGCUCCUAGUACGAGAGGACCGGAGUGGACGCAUCACUGGUGUUCGGGUUGUCAUGCCAAUGGCACUGCCCGGUAGCUAAAUGCGGAAGAGAUAAGUGCUGAAAGCAUCUAAGCACGAAACUUGCCCCGAGAUGAGUUCUCCCUGACUCCUUGA